GUGGUGUUUGGUUUGUUACGUGUGGUUGGCUGCGGCGUUUGCAACAACUUCCAUGCUUUCAGACCUCUUCAGUUGUGCGGCAGGGCUUGUAUCGCCUUGAGCGUAUUGUGGGUUUUCUGUGUUGGCUACCUAAUCAACGGUAUCGGUUGGAUUGAUCAAAGUUUGAUUUCGUCUUCCGUCGCAUUCGCGGCGUGAGGUGAACCUCGAUGCGGUCUCUUUGAUCCACCUCGUCGAAGCACAUGCUUUGACGUUGUGGCCCAUUGAGCAUUGCUUGGUCUCUUGUAUACGGAACAUAUAGUGGGCAUGGAUCUAACGAUUCUCGUUUGCCCUCAUAUUAGCGUAACGCUUCUCUUACACGACUUGCUCCACGUUUUAGCUCGUACGGACGUGGUGCUAUGUCGAAGAGGAAUGCUACCUGGUUGAUCCUGCCAGUAGUCAUAUGCUUGUCUCAAAGAUUAAG
Molecule: unclassified non-coding RNA, 460 nt
Filed under: Artemisia afra
Lineage: Eukaryota; Viridiplantae; Streptophyta; Magnoliopsida; Asterales; Asteraceae
Description: partial external transcribed spacer
Rfam family: Eukaryotic small subunit ribosomal RNA (bases 413-460)
Source: RNAcentral